This 250-nucleotide ribosomal RNA is filed under the name uncultured bacterium. RNAcentral's name for it is "partial 16S ribosomal RNA". It matches the Rfam family "Bacterial small subunit ribosomal RNA", at positions 524 to 773 of the family's 1533-position model. The record is from RNAcentral.
GACGAACCGUCCGAACGUUAUUCGGUAUCACUGGGCUUAAAGAGUUCGUAGGCGGCCCGACAGGUGAGGUGUGAAAUCCCUCGGCUCAACCGAGGAAUUGCGCUUCAAACCGUCAGGCUUGAGGGAGAUAGAGGUGAGCGGAACAGAUGGUGGAGCGGUGAAAUGCGUUGAUAUCAUCUGGAACACCGGUGGCGAAAGCGGCUCACUGGAUCUUUUCUGACGCUGAGGAACGAAAGCUAGGGUAGCGAAC